This 460-nucleotide ribosomal RNA is filed under the name uncultured bacterium. RNAcentral describes it as "partial 16S ribosomal RNA". It matches the Rfam family "Bacterial small subunit ribosomal RNA", at positions 338 to 795 of the family's 1533-position model. The record is from RNAcentral.
CCUACGGGAGGCAGCAGUGAGGAAUAUUGGUCAAUGGACGUACGUCUGAACCAGCCAAGUAGCGUGAAGGAUGACUGCCCUAUGGGUUGUAAACUUCUUUUAUCAAGGAAUAAAGCGAGCCACGUGUACCCUUUUGCAUGUACUUUGUGAAUAAGGAUCGGCUAACUCCGUGCCAGCAGCCGCGGUAAUACGGGGGAUCCGAGCGUUAUCCGGGAUUUUUGGGGUUAAAGGGAGCGUAGAUGGGUUUUUAAGUCCGGUGGGAAAGUUUGCGGCUCAAACGUAAAAUUGCAAUUGAUACUGGCAUUCUUGAGUACAGUUGAAGUAGGCGGAAUUCGUGGUGUAGCGGUGAAAUGCAUAGAUAUCACGAAGAACCCCGAUUGCGAAGGCAGCUUACUAAACUGUGACUGACAUUGAUGCACGAAAGUGUGGGUAUCGAACAGGAUUAGAUACCCUUGUAGUC